CGCCGCCCUUAAAGGCGCAGCAGCGCGGCGGGCGCGGGGCUCCGGGGUCCGCCGUCCCGCGGCCUGGCCGAGCCGGGGAAGGGCCACGGGUGCAGCAGAAACCCUGCAAGGAGCAGCUGAGGGAGCUGGCGUGUUUGUCCUGGAGAAAAGGAGGCUCGGGGGUGACCUUAUCACUCUCUACCACUGUGGCCAGCAGUAAUACAUCAUUCUUGAGACGUGCUGCCUUUUGAUGCUUCUCUAAAUGAAGGGUGACUGAAAUGAGAACAUCAAGGACAAGCAGAUAGUUCAGAACUGUUUCCUGUGAGACAAAUAGGAAAGGACUGGGAAUUAUUUCUUCUAUAACUGAUUGAGAAGAAAAUAGAAUUAUGAAUCUAGAGAGUUGCUGCAGAGAUGCUGCUGUGAUAGGAAAAGAAGUAAUUGGCUUUUAUUGCAAGAAGGAAGAUUCAGUUCAGCUACUGGAAAAUAAUGGGAAGGAUAUUUCUACAUGGACAGACAUCCCAUUCAAAGCUAGCAGAAUUUCUGAAAGUAGCCAUGAGUCAUAAUAACAUUUCUCAGAUGUAGUUUAAUUUAGUUACUUAGCACUGAUGUACAUCUGGAGAAAAAGACCCCUCUGUUUUAUAUGAAGCUAAUAGAUCUGAUUAUGAAGAUGUAGUGUGUUCAUAUAUCCCAAGAAAAAUGUUUAUUCUGUUUCAUAAGUGUGAUUUUCUUUCUAGUUGAUAAACAAGACCUCACGAUCUGGACACAAAAUCAGUUUUAAAAAAUCAAGAAAUUUAUCAUAUAUACAAUGAAAAUCCCACAAAUUUGAUCAAAAGAGAAGUCAAGCUUAAAUUUAUGUAUUAGUCCUUCUGUUCACUAUAAACACAUUAUUCCUUUGGCCAUUGCAUAGCCUUAUGGCACUUUAAUUUUAUUACAUAAAGUGGAGAUUAACGUUGAACAAUAGCAGAAUGUAAGCAGAAUACAAGUCCACAUGCCUUCCAGCCUACAUAGCAGUCAUGAUGUUGCUGAGAUUUUUCUAGCAAGUCCUGUAAAAUUUCUUUCAUCUAAAAUGAAGUUCAGUUUCAUAUUGGAAUAUAUGCCUAAUGCAGUGUAAGUUAUCUUCAUAAAGAAGCUUGUCAGCAGGAACUCAUAUGUCAAGAUAGGAAGGAAGAGAUCAAAGUAUUUAAAUGGAGCAAACGUCAUGUGUUGGCUGUGAGGUCUGCCUGUCCAAAGGAGAGGGAGGUCAGUACACAGAUAACGCUCUGCAGUAACCUGGAACAUGGGUGACCGUGGUCUGCAUCAGUCUUUCUCUUCACUCCAAAGGAGGAAGAUUCAAUAAUGGCACAUUAUGAAUUGGUGAGAGGAAUUAUAACGUCUCAAUGCAAAUGAAGAAGGAGGGUCUAAAUAUAGCAUGUGAAUUCAGCCACUUCAGUGCAAUUCUUUCAUCAAUCCUUCAUGCAAUUACAACUCCAAAGGAGAGGAAAAAUAAGACAAGGAUGUGAAUAUUCUGACUCCAUCUUGAAGAAUUCUUGCUUAGGAAUAUAUUUUGUUUGUCUUUUGAAGAUCCUCCACAUAGUCUUGGGGCUGGAAGAAACUGGCAAGAAGCUGUGCCAUGAAGAAAUGCAAGUAAUGGCCCUGAGAUGGGGUUAGUUGCCUAGAGCAUGGUGCUAUUUGUAGAGCAUGUAGGUUCAAUCCCUGUUACAGACUACUUAAUGAAGAGUUGGACUUGAUGAUUCUUGUGGGUCAUUUCCCACACAGAAAAAUUCUGUGAAUCACAAUGUCCAAGAUGCUGAUGGUGCUCUCAGCCAAACGGUAUCUUACAUGAGGAAAACAGACUGAAAUAUGGUAAGGUUGUGUAAAAGCUCUUUAAGGGCUAAGUAUUUUAUGUGGUAACUAUGGAUUUCAGCUCUUGAAGCAAGUCCAAAGCAUGCUUUACAGGGCUGUUUUACUCUCAUUAACCUAUUUUAGAUUUUUCCAUUGAGGGAGAGAUUCUUUGCCUUUAACCCAUCUGAAGAAUAUGUGAGAAGGAAUACCUGUUGUAUUUUAUUUCUGGUUUACUUCAGCAUGAAGGAGAUGGGUAGAUCUGGGUCAUAUAUGAUUUUUACAGUCCUGGCAAAACAACAAACUACUUUUAUAUGUAACUAGUGUGAAAUUUGAUCUCUUGCUUCUAUGUGGAGACUUUAAGAAUAAAAUGGAUGUGAAUUUGUUAAUUCAUUAACAUGUAAUUCUGUUAAUACUUAUUCAGAGAAUUAAAUAUUGUUGUUAUUCUGAACACAUAAAAACCUAUAAGCAAUGGUACUAAAUUAUCCAGAUACUGGGAGAUUCUUUCAAGUAAAACUGUUUAUCUUGUGAGCAAAAGGCACUGUCCAUUUGUGCUUAGAGCAAAUGAUUCUUAUUGGUGUUGAUCUUCAUUUUCACCCGGCUCAGCAGUUCAGCAUGCAUAUUAAUGCAUUGUCUUAGAACUGAGCCGUAGGCAAAAGUAAUGUUUUUCACACACUCACUGUUUUAAUGGCUAGCUUUCAGAAGACUGAGACACAUUACUGCAUACAAACAGGUAUUGGUAAAAGUCCAAACAAAUUCUGUGGUAUAUAAAUAGACUUCCGAUCUAAACAUUUUAACCUGGGUCCUACAAAAUCUUGCCUACAUUUCCUAAUACAAUUCUGCUGCAGGUGGAGAAGUACUGGUGUAUCUCUGCUGGAACCGUGGGCAGAAAACACCCAACAGAUUCAGUCUCUAGACAGUGAAGUACCGAGAGGUUUCAUUUUACCGCGUCAGCUGACUCGUAAUUCUCAAGGGAGAGGAGCAGACAGAAGUCACAACGUAUUCAGAUCUAACUUCUCUUUUGAAAACUGUACAUUGCUAUCUGAAUUAAUUCCCAAAUGUGAUUUUGCCUUUCUGCAUAUCUCACAUCCUUGUAGCAAAUUGUGUCUUGUGAAAAACAAAGAACAGAAACCUAACAACUGUGCCUGUUGUGCAGUAAAUUUUAAAAAUACUUAGUAAGAAAAUGCUGAAUUUCAGAUUUCCUGUGCACAUUUAUUUCAGCUUGCACGUGCUUGUAUAUUAUAAUGUGCUGGCCAAUUAUAUAACUCUACUGUAUAUUAUCCACUUGAGUACUAUAUCAGUCAGAAUUAAAUUUUCUUUCUCUUUACUUUCUAGUAAAGAAUUAUUGAUGCAUGUGGCCUCAUAUUUUUCUUAUGUUUUUUACUCACCACUUGACAAAUUCUGUCUGAGGACAGAAAUCUUUUUUUCUGGUCACAUAAUCUGACAUUUGCUUCUUCACAGAUACUAUACUGUGAAGAUACUAUACAUUUCUGUACAGAUACUAUAUUGUUUCUAAGAUUCUAUUAUACUAGUCAGUUCAUUUUCACAACAAUCCACUAGGAUGAGAGAUUAUUAUUGCUUUCUUUCAGAAGCAGGAAUGAGGCACAGAAAGUUAAAGGUCAAAGUAUUUAUUGAUUUUGGGCACCUAAUAUAAACCAGAAAGGAUUCUGUAAUAUUUAAUACCAAGUAGCUACUGGCCAGACCACUUUUAAUAUUUCCUGGAAGUAUAGCUCUCAGUGCCUAGCACUGCUGUAGGUCUUGACAUUCCAGCUCAGACCUGCUGUAGUGGAACAAACCAUGGGCUAAUGGCUUUUUCUGCUAGUCUUUCUCCCCACAUCUGGAGGUAAUAACUGCAGGGGUUUGUAUCGAGUAACAGAAGGCAUCAGUCCAACUGUUUCAAACAUGCAAGCAAUCAAUUCCGUAUUAGUUGGUACAAAAGGCAGAGCUGACAUGUGGCAGCCUCGUAUGCCAGCCAGCUUGGAGUUGGAAAGACAACUCCUAAUGAACUCACCCACACAUGAGAUGGGAACAUAAAGGGUAACAAUAUGUUGGAGGCAAGUGCAGCAACUACGUUUUGGAAGGCUCUAAUGGCUUUUU
This is a long non-coding RNA of Passer montanus (Eurasian tree sparrow), 3894 nucleotides long. RefSeq lists it as uncharacterized. The record is from RefSeq and is a predicted model, not a curated record. Lineage: Eukaryota; Metazoa; Chordata; Aves; Passeriformes; Passeridae. The transcript has 4 exons.